UAGGUCUCCAAAGUGGAUACUGCUCUCGGGGUCUGCUCGACUCGUCUGCUGGUCUUCCCCAGGGACCGGUCUUCUGCCAGGAGCUCCCCCAGGGCUGGGGAGACAGCAAAGACGCACCGCUGACCCAGGCUGACGUGGUUGCUCCAUGAGCAGGGAGGAUGCUUGCGGAGGCAGCAUGUCGGACAAGAGCAGAGCGAGAUCGGGGAGCAUAAGCUGAAUCACCUUUACAACUUGAAGCCUCUAGGUUGAGACUUUGAGAUUGGACAUCUCCUCUCUAGAGAGCAGGUUUGCCGCAGUCAUUUUUUUGUGGCUGCAACAACCCUUUUGUGGCCUCAGCCAGGCAGCCCUGGGCAGGUUGGGUAUUCACUGAACAGCACAAGCUGGGGUUGAACUUCUGAGCUCAUCCAGCUUUUUAACAUCUGUGAUAGGGGAUUACAAUGAUACUACUAGCACAGCUCUAGCUGUUACCCAUCUUCAGGAAAAUGCUCCCAAAAUGAGACAACGUGAGGAGUUCUCAUGCUUGAAACUCAUUCAUUUAGAAAAAGCCAGACAUUUCUGCUCACUCCAGGACAUCUGCUACAGCUUCCCUGGCCCCCCUCUAUUGAGAAUUUGUCAAUGACUCAAAUUUCUGCAUUUUCCCAUGGUAGGGAAUCUCCUCCCCUCUCUUUCUUGCUCCGUCUGCCAACCUCCGUGGUUCUUCUGAUGCCUUGUUGUUAUUCCAUCAAGUAUUCUUCCUCCUGAAAUUAUCAUCCUUUUCUUCAUUUUUUUAAGCAGUUUUUUUUUUCUUCUUCUUCCUUUUCAAACCUCCCUGGCUUUGAGGUUUCCUUAUUUGCCGUCUCUCAGGGAGGAUCAACUGUAAAUGCCUAAAUUAUGAGGCUUCAACCUUGAUCAAUAUGCUGUGGGUGGAAAAGAAGGAAGUGCUUUCUGUCAAUUUUGUGUUAAAUCAGUGACUUUUAAUAAAAGGGAGCUUGUUCUGUGA
Molecule: long non-coding RNA, 979 nt
Organism: Dromaius novaehollandiae (emu)
Lineage: Eukaryota; Metazoa; Chordata; Aves; Casuariiformes; Dromaiidae
Exons: 2
Source: RefSeq, a predicted model, not a curated record